Molecule: ribosomal RNA, 445 nt
Filed under: uncultured bacterium
Lineage: Bacteria
Description: partial 16S ribosomal RNA
Rfam family: Bacterial small subunit ribosomal RNA
Source: RNAcentral
GUGAGGAAUAUUGGACAAUGGGCGCAAGCCUGAUCCAGCCAUGCCGCGUGCAGGAAGACGCAUCUAUGGUGUGUAAACUGCUUUUGUACGGGAAGAAACACUCCCUCGUGAGGGAGCUUGACGGCACCGUAAGAAUAAGGAUCGGCUAACUCCGUGCCAGCAGCCGCGGUAAUACGGAGGAUCCAAGCGUUAUCCGGAAUCAUUGGGUUUAAAGGGUCCGUAGGCGGUUUAAUAAGUCAGUGGUGAAAGCCCAUCGCUCAACGAUGGAACGGCCAUUGAUACUGUUAGACUUGAAUUACAAGGAAGUAACUAGAAUAUGUAGUGUAGCGGUGAAAUGCUUAGAUAUUACAUGGAAUACCAAUUGCGAAGGCAGGUUACUACUUGUGGAUUGACGCUGAUGGACGAAAGCGUGGGGAGCGAACAGGAUUAGAUACCCUGGUAGUCC